UGCAGUACUUCCAGGAACGGUGC
RNAcentral lists this non-coding RNA (23 nucleotides) under Cricetulus griseus (Chinese hamster). Lineage: Eukaryota; Metazoa; Chordata; Mammalia; Rodentia; Cricetidae. The record is from RNAcentral.